Molecule: ribosomal RNA, 401 nt
Filed under: uncultured bacterium
Lineage: Bacteria
Description: bacterial SSU rRNA
Rfam family: Bacterial small subunit ribosomal RNA
Source: RNAcentral
AUUGAACGCUGGCGGCAUGCCUUACACAUGCAAGUCGAACGGUAACAGGUUAAGCUGACGAGUGGCGAACGGGUGAGUAAUGUAUCGGAACGUGCCCAGUCGUGGGGGGACAACGUAGCGAAAGCUACGCUAAUACCGCAUACGAUCUAUGGAUGAAAGCGGGGGAUCGCAAGACCUCGCGCGAUUGGAGCGGCCGAUAUCAGAUUAGGUAGUUGGUGGGGUAAAGGCCCACCAAGCCGACGAUCUGUAGCUGGUCUGAGAGGACGACCAGCCCACACUGGGACUGAGACACGGCCCAGACCUCCUACGGGAGGCAGCAGUGGGGGAAUUUUGGACAAUGGGCGCAAGCCUGAUCCAGCAAUGCCGCGUGCAGGGAUGAAGGUCCUUCGGGUUGGUAAACU